This 406-nucleotide ribosomal RNA is filed under the name uncultured bacterium. RNAcentral's name for it is "partial 16S ribosomal RNA". It matches the Rfam family "Bacterial small subunit ribosomal RNA", at positions 30 to 526 of the family's 1533-position model. The record is from RNAcentral.
AUUGAACGCUGGCGGCAUGCUUUACACAUGCAAGUCGAACGAGUGGCGCACGGGUGAGUAAUACAUCGGAACGUGUCCUAUCGUAGGGGAUAACUGAUCGAAAGAUCAGCUAAUACCGCAUACGAUUGGAUCGGCCGAUGCGCGAUUAGCUAGUUGGUGAGGUAAAGGCUAACCAAGGCGACUAUCGGUAGCUGGUCUGAGAGGACGACCAGCCACACUGGGACUGAGACACGGCCCAGACUCCUACGUGAGGCAGCAGUGGGGAAUUUUGGACAAUGGGGGCAACCCUGAUCCAGCCAUGCCGCGUGCAGGAUGAAGGUCUUCGGAUUGUAAACUGUUUUGGUCAGGGAAGCGGUACCUGAAGAAUAAGCACCGGCUAACUACGUGCCAGCAGCCGCGGUAAUAC